Molecule: long non-coding RNA, 216 nt
Filed under: Mytilus galloprovincialis (Mediterranean mussel)
Lineage: Eukaryota; Metazoa; Mollusca; Bivalvia; Mytilida; Mytilidae
Source: RNAcentral
UCAAAGCAUGCAUAUCGGAGUCUAUUGAAAUGAAGAUGUCAGAAAUGGUAAAAGUGAAAUUUCAAGAGGUAUUUGGUGCUUUGAAAAAUUUAAGAAUUCAGAAAAAUAAGGACAAAUAAAAUAAGAUUUGGGAAAUAGACCUAAAAAUGUAAAAAGUUGUUUAGGAGAGUCACAAACAUGUAUACAAGAAAAACAGACAUGGAAAACCAAUCCAGA